This 361-nucleotide unclassified non-coding RNA is filed under the name Hevea brasiliensis (rubber tree). The record is from RNAcentral. Lineage: Eukaryota; Viridiplantae; Streptophyta; Magnoliopsida; Malpighiales; Euphorbiaceae.
GGCUACCUCCUCUUUCAGUACUUCAAUUCGCUCCACUGCUUCUGCCAACUGGCCCUUUAUUACAUUUACUUCUUUGUUGCACCCAGAAGCUAAUGUUUGUUGUUGACUUGCAAAUUCUUUCGCAGCAUUCAACUCUUGACGAACCUGCUCAGACUGAACCCUCUCUUUUGCUAGAGCAGCUGAUGCAUCUGUUGCUAACUUCUCCUUCUCGUUCACUAACUUUUCCAUCUGCAUCAGUCUGUCCUUCUCUUCAACCUCGAAUUUUAAUUUGUUUUCCAUCUCAAUAAGUUUUGUAUCAAGAGAAGUUCGAAUUUCUUUUUCAUUCAAAUGCUCCAAAUACAGUUCCUUAAGCAUAUCUUUA